RNAcentral lists this ribosomal RNA (255 nucleotides) under uncultured bacterium. Its description in RNAcentral is "partial 16S ribosomal RNA". It matches the Rfam family "Bacterial small subunit ribosomal RNA", at positions 524 to 776 of the family's 1533-position model. The record is from RNAcentral.
UACAGAGGUCUCAAGCGUUUGUUCGGAUUCAUUGGGCGUAAAGGGUGCGUAGGCGGCGGGGCAAGUCUGAUGUGAAAUCCCGGGGUUCAACCCCGGAACUGCAUUGGAUACUGCCUCGCUAGAGUACUGGAGAGGAGACUGGAAUUUACGGUGUAGCAGUGAAAUGCGUAGAUAUCGUAAGGAAGGCCAGUGGCGAAGGCGAGUCUCUGGACAGUUACGUGACGCUGAGGCACGAAGGCCAGGGGAGCAAACGGG